CAGGGUAAUUGCUUCGAAUGUUCCUCUCUGUGCUGCCAUUUGGGACCGUUCCGAAGCGAAAGGGAGGAUAAUGUUCCUGGGGUUUUUGAAACUGAAACAAAAAGUAAUAA
Molecule: microRNA precursor, 110 nt
Organism: Danio rerio (zebrafish)
Lineage: Eukaryota; Metazoa; Chordata; Actinopteri; Cypriniformes; Danionidae
Source: Ensembl